Molecule: ribosomal RNA, 253 nt
Filed under: uncultured bacterium
Lineage: Bacteria
Description: partial 16S ribosomal RNA
Rfam family: Bacterial small subunit ribosomal RNA
Source: RNAcentral
UACGAAGGGGGCGAGCGUUGUUCGGAUUUACUGGGCGUAAAGGGCGCGUAGGCGGCGGGCCAAGUCGAGUGUGAAAGCCCCGGGCUCAACCUGGGAACGGCGCUCGAGACUGGCUUGCUGGAGUUCGGGAGAGGAGCGUGGAAUUCCCAGUGUAGAGGUGAAAUUCGUAGAUAUGCGGAGGAACACCAAUGGCGAAGGCAAUCCCCUGGACCUGUACUGACGCUCAUGCACGAAAGCGUGGGGAGCAAACAGG